GCCGGGCAUGGUGGCACAUGCUUGUAAUCCCAGCGCCCAGGAGGCUGAGGCAGGAGGAUCACUAGCUCAAAGCCAACCUCAGCAACUUAGCAAGACCCUGUCUCUA
This 106-nucleotide small RNA is filed under the name Marmota monax (woodchuck). Lineage: Eukaryota; Metazoa; Chordata; Mammalia; Rodentia; Sciuridae. The record is from RNAcentral.